CGUGCCGAUUGCCGUGUCUCGCUAGCUUGCUAGCUUGCAGUAUUUGUAUGUUUGCAAUUUUCUCCCUUACAAAACUCACAAUGUCAAUGAAACGUCCUGGGUCCAAAACGAAGAGGAAGAUGCUAACAAUGACACAAAAGGUUGGACUUUUUGGACAUGCUGAAAGAAUGUUGAAGUUACGUGGCUAUUCAGAGGCAAUAUGAAUACUGGGAAUGCACCUUCGGUUCAAAUGAGGACUACAGAAAUAUGUUUGAACAAGAUACAAGGAUACAGAAACACUACAGUACUGGAAGAAAAGGAAUUAAAGCAACCAGUCUGUGCCAGUCCUGCCCGGCCCGACCCUGCCCCGCACACAAACAGCAUCCUCCUGCAGUGAGGGGUGCGAUGGUGGUGGGAGGCCUCUAUUGUGAGAUGGUAAAGUCUGGAAACAGUGUUGCUCUGCCAUGUAGGUCACGGCAGCAAUGGCUGACUUCAGGUUAGGAGGAAGGAUCAGACAGAAUCCAUCUGCUUCUGGAAGUCUCUGAAGCUGCACAGGACUGUCACACCUAAAAAGGAUGAAGAAGACCCAGGACAUUAGGAUGUGAGGGUGUGAAAGCACACACCGCAAAACAUUAGGUAGCUGCAGAAUCAAAGGCUGUGUUUUUUUUGUGGUUCUGUACUCCGAUAUGGUCCAAAAAUUAAAAAAAAAAUACUGGACUGGUCGGCAGCCAAUCACAGGGCACAUAGUAUAGACAAACAACCAUUCACACUCACAUUCAUACCUAUGGACAAUUUACAUCCAUCCAUUUUCUAUGCCUCCUAUCCGCACUAGGGUCGCAGGUAUACUUCUGCAAUGUGCUCGGGUAUGUACUUACUUAAUAUUGCCAACAAA
Molecule: long non-coding RNA, 871 nt
Organism: Doryrhamphus excisus (bluestripe pipefish)
Lineage: Eukaryota; Metazoa; Chordata; Actinopteri; Syngnathiformes; Syngnathidae
Source: RefSeq, a predicted model, not a curated record